Trachymyrmex cornetzi is the source of this 267-nucleotide long non-coding RNA. RefSeq lists it as uncharacterized. The record is from RefSeq and is a predicted model, not a curated record. The transcript is spliced from 3 exons. Lineage: Eukaryota; Metazoa; Arthropoda; Insecta; Hymenoptera; Formicidae.
GAAGUCAUAAUAUUAAAAGAAGCAGCUGAUUAUACUCAAGGCAUACGCCGACUCAAAAAAGCAUAUACAAACUUAGUCAUUUCUAGUACUGAUUGUGAAGAAGCAAGUACAAAUGUUAAUUCUGACAUUAUGGUUUUCAAUGAAAAAGAGAAUUUAUCUGUAUUAAAUGAUGUACCACCGUAUGUUCCUGCUAAGUCUGUAUUGAAGGAUAUAAAUAAUAAGACAAAACAUCAUAGUAAUAACGAUUGUUGUGCACAAUUAAUGGAU